CUAAUUGAUCAGAAAGAUAGUUGUAGGACUGUUUUAAAAAUAUAAUAAAAUUUGACGCCUGCAUAUUCCUACAACUUCUCAGAGUCCUUUGGGCAGUGACUGAGGAGAUAAACCAUGCAGGAAACAAUG
Molecule: small nucleolar RNA, 129 nt
Organism: Cavia aperea (Brazilian guinea pig)
Lineage: Eukaryota; Metazoa; Chordata; Mammalia; Rodentia; Caviidae
Gene: SNORA73
Rfam family: Small nucleolar RNA SNORA73 family
About the family: U17 (SNORA73A and SNORA73B) also known as E1 belongs to the H/ACA class of small nucleolar RNAs (snoRNAs).
Source: Ensembl